RNAcentral lists this long non-coding RNA (634 nucleotides) under Homo sapiens (human). RNAcentral describes it as "non-protein coding lnc-CTAGE1-2:1". Lineage: Eukaryota; Metazoa; Chordata; Mammalia; Primates; Hominidae. The record is from RNAcentral.
CUUUCCUCUGAUGGAUCAAAAUGAAAGAACGUCGGUCCUGGCAGUCUUUCAGCCACAAAGCUUUGAGAAAUGGGGCUAAAUAUUAAUAAUAACUGCUUGGAUUAUAAUGAGGAAUCAAUCAAAACACAUACUGUUGAUGAAGAUGCCUUGAACACCGUGGAUGCUGUAGAAUAAGGGAUUAUGACUACAGCAAUUCUUGGCUCCCUUCUCUGUUUGUUUAAGGGUUACACAGGCUUUGUUUAAUAUCUCCGUGUCUCAGUCCUUUCGGUUGAAGCACAAGGCAUGCUUCAGCCACCUGAGAUUAACUGCUAAACCCUGCAGCAAGCCAGCAUCUCCUCCCUGCUGCCUCUCAUCCGUCAGGAUCUGCUCUGGAAAUGGGCCAGUGGUGACGUGUGGGAAUGCAGCCCUUUGUGUUUGUUUUUGGUGUUGGAUUUGGUGGCCUUGGUCACGGAUUGGCUUCCUUCUUUGAAACUGAACAUCUUCCAUGCCUUUGUGAUUGAGUGACAAAAGUUCAACCUGCACAUGCCAAAAUGAACAGCCUAGAAAACUGAUUAUGGUUUCAGGACCAGCUUUAAAAAAAAGCAACAAAACCCUUCCAGUCACCCAGAGUUCUAAACAUAAUCGGUUGGUUCCC